This 357-nucleotide long non-coding RNA is filed under the name Homo sapiens (human). Its description in RNAcentral is "HSALNT0317749". Lineage: Eukaryota; Metazoa; Chordata; Mammalia; Primates; Hominidae. The record is from RNAcentral.
AAUUGUUGCUGACGAGGCCGCCUGGACAGCUUGCCUGGUCCCCUGUAUGUCCACUCUGGAUGUCCACAGUGACUCGGGCUCCUCAGCAGCCCACGUCCUCCUCACCAUCUCCCAGAACAGAGGCCCACGGAGUACCGCUCGCAGUUGAGGUAGGCCCGCACCGUGUAGAAGGCCUUGUGGAACUGCCUCUCGAUGUCCGUCAGCUCCUCAAACACCUUGUUGGCCGACCACAGCAGCACCUGGAGGGAGGGGCACACCUGUGGGCCUGUGGCCACUCCCACCCUCACGCCGGUCUGACCACAGCAGCAGGGGUUUAACUCAAGCCUGACACAGGUGCGCUCCCUGAUCUGACCACCU